GUGAAUCAUCGAAUUUUUGAACGCAAAUUGCACUCUCCUCGGAGAGUGUGCCCGUUUGAGGGUCAGCCUAUAAAAAUCGACAUCGUUGCUGUUUCGCGGUUGUGUUCGUCGGAAAUUGGGUCAUCUUAAAUCCUUUUGAUUUAGGCGACUUAAAAUGUUCCUUUGGUUCCAUGAACGUUUCUAAGAUCUAUUUCUUUACACGUUUAAGGUAUCGAUAUUUCCUUGACGUAACCAUCAUAUCAGGUCGCUUUCAUAAC
RNAcentral lists this unclassified non-coding RNA (257 nucleotides) under Glomus sp. RNAcentral describes it as "partial contains 5.8S ribosomal RNA and internal transcribed spacer 2". The stretch from base 1 to 65 matches the Rfam family "5.8S ribosomal RNA", at positions 84 to 154 of the family's 154-position model. Lineage: Eukaryota; Fungi; Glomeromycota; Glomeromycetes; Glomerales; Glomeraceae. The record is from RNAcentral.